Molecule: ribosomal RNA, 492 nt
Filed under: uncultured bacterium
Lineage: Bacteria
Description: partial 16S ribosomal RNA
Rfam family: Bacterial small subunit ribosomal RNA
Source: RNAcentral
AGUGAACGCUGGCGGUAUGCCUAACACAUGCAAGUCGAACGGCAGCACAGUAAGAGCUUGCUCUUACGGGUGGCGAGUGGCGGACGGGUGAGGAAUACAUCGGAAUCUACUUUUUCGUGGGGGAUAACGUAGGGAAACUUACGCUAAUACCGCAUACGACCUACGGGUGAAAGCAGGGGAUCUUCGGACCUUGCGCGAUUGAAUGAGCCGAUGUCGGAUUAGCUAGUUGGCGGGGUAAAGGCCCACCAAGGCGACGAUCCGUAGCUGGUCUGAGAGGAUGAUCAGCCACACUGGAACUGAGACACGGUCCAGACUCCUACGGGAGGCAGCAGUGGGGAAUAUUGCGCAAUGGGCGCAAGCCUGAUCCAGCAAUACCGCGUGGGUGAAGAAGGCCUUCGGGUUGUAAAGCCCUUUUGUUGGGAAAGAAAAGCAGCAGGUUAAUCCACCGAUGUCUUGACGGUACCCAAAGAGUAAGCCACGGCUAACUUCGUG